UAAUGCUGGUGCAAGCGAUAAUCGGAUUCACUGGGCGUAAAGAGCAUGUAGGCGGAGUGGAAAGUUAGAUGUGCAAGCCCGGGGCUCAACUCCGGAUCCGCAUCUAAAACUACCAUUCUGUAGGAUGGACGGAGAAAAGGGAAUUCCACGUGUAGCGGUGAAAUGCGUAGAUAUGUGGAAGAACACCGGUGGCGAUGGCGCUUGUCUAGUUUAUUCCUGACGCUGAGAUGCGAAAGCAAGGGGAGCAAACAGG
This 253-nucleotide ribosomal RNA is filed under the name uncultured bacterium. Its description in RNAcentral is "partial 16S ribosomal RNA". It matches the Rfam family "Bacterial small subunit ribosomal RNA", at positions 524 to 776 of the family's 1533-position model. The record is from RNAcentral.